This 223-nucleotide small nucleolar RNA is filed under the name Theropithecus gelada (gelada). RNAcentral describes it as "Small nucleolar RNA U3 (ENSTGEG00000002434.1)". It matches the Rfam family "Small nucleolar RNA U3". From Rfam's summary of the family: Small nucleolar RNAs (snoRNAs) are involved in the processing and modification of rRNA in the nucleolus. There are two main classes of snoRNAs: the box C/D class, and the box H/ACA class. The record is from Rfam by way of RNAcentral. Lineage: Eukaryota; Metazoa; Chordata; Mammalia; Primates; Cercopithecidae.
AAGACUAUACUUUCAGGGAUCAUUUUUAUAGUUUGUUAGUAGGGAAGCUUUUCUGAACGUGUAGAGCAUCCAAAGUCACGAGGAGAGGAGCAGGCAUAGUGUUCUCUCCUGAGCGUGAAGUGGGGGUUUUUGGUGUUGCCUCAGUGCAACUGCUGUUUGCCAUUCAUGAUCGUUCUUCUCUCCACUUUGGAGAGUAAGAGGGAGAGGGCGUGGUUUGAGUGGU